This 719-nucleotide long non-coding RNA is filed under the name Cyanistes caeruleus (blue tit). RNAcentral describes it as "lncRNA (ENSCCEG00000000903.1)". Lineage: Eukaryota; Metazoa; Chordata; Aves; Passeriformes; Paridae. The record is from RNAcentral.
AUUGAAGCUAAGGCUGUGAACAAAUUCUGAACUCCAUGCUGCCUGAUGAAUCCUGUUUUGUUUCAGCUGGGGCAAUAGAAGACUCUUGGGGAAAGAUUGUGCUAUUCAAAUCCUUCCAUGGUUCCUCUUCUGAAGAACUCACAGAACUUCAGCUGCUCGGUGCCUUUCCUGCAGCUUUUAAAUCAGCUCUCCUCUUGGAAGCAAGACAAGAUCGCUCAUCUCUGUGCUGGUGAUUGCUCUGGAGAUAUUGUAGUCCCACUCUUAAAAUAUGAAAUUUAUUUGAUUAUAAAGGAUAUUAUUAUAUAUGCACACCUAUGUAGAUAUAUGCUAGGUAAACAUUCCUUUUCCCUGCUUGAGAGAAUUUAAUAAUUACCAGAUGAGAAUGAUAACCAUGCGUUUUUUUCAUUAUUAACAUUCAAAUAGUGUAGCUCUGAUUUAAUGUUCUAAGAUAUCUUUUUGUUCUUUGCCUUUUUCUAGGCUGACAAUACAAAGUAAAAUCACUUCUUAAAUCUUAAAGCCUUGUGAAUCUUAAUUUUAACUGUCUUCCAUAGUUCUGAGAGGGAGGGAAUGAGCAUCUCAUUUUACUGAGGCUUUUUUGUUGACUCUUAAAACAGAAGAUAGAAGCUUGCUACAGCGUUACCCAGAUGUAUUUAGCUUUGACUUGUGAGUUCAAACCCAGCAUACUUUAUAAUAAAAUAAAAAUAUAAGUAAGAUAAAAU